UACAGAGGGGGCAAGCGUUGUUCGGAAUUACUGGGCGUAAAGGGCGCGUAGGCGGCCUGCUAAGUCGAACGUGAAAUCCCUGGGCUCAACCCAGGAACUGCGUCCGAUACUGGUUGGCUUGAAUCCGGGAGAGGGAUGCGGAAUUCCAGGUGUAGCGGUGAAAUGCGUAGAUAUCUGGAGGAACACCGGUGGCGAAGGCGGCAUCCUGGACUGGCAUUGACGCUGAGGCGCGAAAGCCAGGGGAGCAAACGGG
Molecule: ribosomal RNA, 253 nt
Filed under: uncultured bacterium
Lineage: Bacteria
Description: partial 16S ribosomal RNA
Rfam family: Bacterial small subunit ribosomal RNA
Source: RNAcentral